This 59-nucleotide transfer RNA is filed under the name Acanthogammarus victorii. RNAcentral's name for it is "tRNA-Leu". Lineage: Eukaryota; Metazoa; Arthropoda; Malacostraca; Amphipoda; Acanthogammaridae. The record is from RNAcentral.
GUCAUUUUGGCGGAUAAGCGCACAAAGUUUAGGACUUUGAAACGGGGAACCAAGUGGUA